GAUUCCCUAGUAACUGCGAGUGAAGCGGGAAAAGCUCAAAUUUGAAAUCUGGCAGUCUUUUUUUUCUUCUUUGGCUGUCCGAGUUGUAAUCUAGAGAAGUGCUUACCUGCGCUGGACCAUGUAUAAGUCUCCUGGAAUGGAGCCUCACAGAGGGUGAGAAUCCCGUCUUUGACAUGGACCGCCAGUGCGUUGUGGUGCGCUCUCAAAGAGUCGAGUUGUUUGGGAAUGCAGCUCUAAACGGGUGGUAAACUCCAUCUAAAGCUAAAUAUUGGCGAGAGACCGAUAGCGAACAAGUACCGUGAGGGAAAGAUGAAAAGGACUUUGGAAAGAGAGUUAAACAGUAUGUGAAAUUGUUGAAAGGGAAACGCUUGAAGUCAGUUAUGUCGGCUGGGGAUCAACCUAGCCAUCUUUUUGGCUGGGUGAAUUUCCUAGUCUGACAGGCCAACAUCAGUCUUGACUGCCGGAAAAGAGCGGAGGGAAUGUGGCACCUUUGGGUGUGUUAUAGCCCUCUGUCAUAUGCGGCAGUCGGGACUGAGGGAUGCAGCGUGCCGCGAGGCUGGGUUUCGACCACGUUCACGCUUAGGAUGUUGGCUUUUAAUGGCUCCAAUCGACCCGUCUUGAAACACGGACCAAGGAGUCUAACAUGCCUGCGAGUGUUUGGGUGGAAAACCCUUGUGCACAAUGAAAGUGAAAGUUGAGAUCCCCGUCAUGGGGAGCAUCGACGCCCGGACUUGAGCUUUUAGCGACGGAUCCGCGGUAGAGCAUGCAUGUUGGGACCCGAAAGAUGGUGAACUAUGCCUGAAUAGGGCAAAGCCAGAGGAAACUCUGGUGGAGGCUCGUAGCGAUUCUGACGUGCAAAUCGAUCGUCAAAUUUGGGUAUAGGGGCGAAAGACUAAUCGAACC
This 903-nucleotide ribosomal RNA is filed under the name Amanita aff. sinicoflava. Its description in RNAcentral is "partial large subunit ribosomal RNA". It matches the Rfam family "Eukaryotic large subunit ribosomal RNA", at positions 73 to 941 of the family's 3401-position model. The record is from RNAcentral. Lineage: Eukaryota; Fungi; Basidiomycota; Agaricomycetes; Agaricales; Amanitaceae.